UACGUAGGUGACAAGCGUUGUCCGGAUUUACUGGGCGUAAAGAGCGCGCAGGCGGUCGUUCAAGUCGAGUGUGAAAGCCCCCGGCUCAACUGGGGAGGGUCAUUCGAUACUGAUCGACUCGAAGGCAGGAGAGGGUAGUGGAAUUCCCGGUGUAGUGGUGAAAUUCGUAGAUAUCGGGAGGAACACCAGUGGCGAAGGCGGCGACCUGGGCCAAUAUUGACGCUGAGGUGCGAAAGCGUGGGGAGCAAACAGG
RNAcentral lists this ribosomal RNA (253 nucleotides) under uncultured bacterium. Its description in RNAcentral is "partial 16S ribosomal RNA". It matches the Rfam family "Bacterial small subunit ribosomal RNA", at positions 524 to 776 of the family's 1533-position model. The record is from RNAcentral.